UCUAAAUGGGACAUCAGGGUUAUACUGCUUUGAUGGCGUCUCAAGCAACUAUCGCCAUAAUGAACUGAUAGUUAGCAUCCUCUUCCGUGCUCAAAUCUGUAAAUUUCAAAAAAAUCAUAUAUGAUAUACCCAAUUAAAGCUAAAAUAGAAUUUAAAAAUAUAAAUUUUUAAUUCAUAUAUCUAUGAUAAUACAAGAUAACCACCAAUC
Molecule: long non-coding RNA, 208 nt
Filed under: Elaeis guineensis (African oil palm)
Lineage: Eukaryota; Viridiplantae; Streptophyta; Magnoliopsida; Arecales; Arecaceae
Description: long non-coding RNA (EGUI_LNC075883)
Source: RNAcentral